UUUCUAGACAAAGAAGUUCACCCCUUUCCGGUCCCUUUAAGUGGAUCUUGCUUGUCUGCAGACACCCACCCUCACUUGAGUAAAAGCCACGCAGUCGCGGCGUGACAGAGGAACGGUGAAGACAGCGAAAGCGUGUGUUUGGAGGGCAGGACGGGGAUUGGGCGCCCUCCGGGCGAAGAGCUCCCUGUGGAAGAGGUAGAGUCAGCAAUGGAAGCAGUUUGGGUCUGGACGUGGAAGCUGCCUGCCCACUCGGCACACCCACGUUGGACGAUUAGCUGCAGGCUCCC
This 287-nucleotide long non-coding RNA is filed under the name Sus scrofa (pig). RNAcentral describes it as "lncRNA (ENSSSCG00070013928.1)". The record is from RNAcentral. Lineage: Eukaryota; Metazoa; Chordata; Mammalia; Artiodactyla; Suidae.